AUUGAACGCUGGCGGCAUGCCUUACACAUGCAAGUCGAACGGCAGCAUGAUCUAGCUUGCUAGAUUGAUGGCGAGUGGCGAACGGGUGAGUAAUACAUCGGAACGUGCCCUGUAGUGGGGGAUAACUAGUCGAAAGAUUAGCUAAUACCGCAUACGACCUGAGGGUGAAAGUGGGGGACCGCAAGGCCUCAUGCUAUAGGAGCGGCCGAUGUCUGAUUAGCUAGUUGGUGAGGUAAAGGCUCACCAAGGCGACGAUCAGUAGCUGGUCUGAGAGGACGAUCAGCAACACUGGGACUGAGACACGGCCCAGACUCCUACGGGAGGCAGCAGUGGGGAAUUUUGGACAAUGGGCGAAAGCCUGAUCCAGCAAUGCCGCGUGUGUGAAGAAGGCCUUCGGGUUGUAAAGCACUUUUGUCCGGAAAGAAAUGGCUCUGGUUAAUACCUGGGGUCGAUGACGGUACCGGACGAAUAAGGACCGGCUAACUACGUG
This 490-nucleotide ribosomal RNA is filed under the name uncultured bacterium. RNAcentral describes it as "partial 16S ribosomal RNA". It matches the Rfam family "Bacterial small subunit ribosomal RNA", at positions 30 to 507 of the family's 1533-position model. The record is from RNAcentral.